AUUGAACGCUGGCGGCAUGCUUUACACAUGCAAGUCGAACGGCAGCGCGGGCUUCGGCCUGGCGGCGAGUGGCGAACGGGUGAGUAAUGCAUCGGAACGUGCCCAGUAGUGGGGGAUAGCCCGGCGAAAGCCGGAUUAAUACCGCAUACGACCUGAGGGUGAAAGCGGGGGACCGAAAGGCCUCGCGCUAUUGGAGCGGCCGAUGUCGGAUUAGCUAGUUGGUGGGGUAAAGGCUUACCAAGGCGACGAUCCGUAGCUGGUCUGAGAGGACGACCAGCCACACGGGGACUGAGACACGGCCCAGACUCCUACGGGAGGCAGCAGUGGGGAAUUUGGGACAAGGGGGGCAACCCUGAUCCAGCCAUGCCGCGUGCGGGAAGAAGGCCUGCGGGUUGUAAACCGCUUUUGUUCGGGAAGAAAUCCUCUGGGCUAAUACCCCGGGGGGAUGACGGUACCGGAAGAAUAAGCACCGGCUAACUACGUG
Molecule: ribosomal RNA, 484 nt
Filed under: uncultured bacterium
Lineage: Bacteria
Description: partial 16S ribosomal RNA
Rfam family: Bacterial small subunit ribosomal RNA
Source: RNAcentral